UACGUAGGGGGCUAGCGUUGUCCGGAAUCAUUGGGCGUAAAGCGCGCGUAGGCGGCCCGGUAAGUCCGCUGUGAAAGUCAAAGGCUCAACCUUUGAAUGUCAGCGGAUACUGCCGGGCUAGAGUCCGGAAGAGGAGAGUGGAAUUCCUGGUGUAGCGGUGAAAUGCGCAGAUAUCAGGAGGAACACCGGUGGCGAAGGCGGGUCUCUGGGCCGUAACUGACGCUGAGGAGCGAAAGCAUGGGGAGCGAACAGG
Molecule: ribosomal RNA, 253 nt
Filed under: uncultured bacterium
Lineage: Bacteria
Description: partial 16S ribosomal RNA
Rfam family: Bacterial small subunit ribosomal RNA
Source: RNAcentral